This is a long non-coding RNA of Asterias rubens (European starfish), 858 nucleotides long. RefSeq lists it as uncharacterized. The record is from RefSeq and is a predicted model, not a curated record. The transcript is spliced from 6 exons. NCBI's taxonomy places the organism in Eukaryota, Metazoa, Echinodermata, Asteroidea, Forcipulatida, Asteriidae.
UCAAAGUGCUGGCCCAACUCUCAAAAACCAAUGUUUACACCAUCUUUAGACAUUUCACCAAAACAUGUUGACCAAUCUAUCAAAAUUUGCUGAAUAUUUUUCUUCGCUGAAACUGUCUUAAAACUGAUGUUGUGCUUUCUCUGUUAAGGUUCCCUGGGCUAAUACUGCGCAAAUCGUUCAGUACCUGAAGAGUUUUUAAAGGAAGUGGACACUAAUGGUUCCCUGGGCUAAUACUGCGCAAAUCGUUCAGUACCUGAAGAGUUUUUAAAGGAAGUGGACACUAAUGUGGAAAUACAUAAUGGCACUGUCUUUCAGGAGUUGGCUGCUGCCUACACAGAUGAUGAAAGCCUAACAACUUGGAACAUGUCUAGAAAUUCACUGCAGGCUAUCCAUGUAAAGGUUGUGAUAUCUAGGAACUCAAUGCUUCACUACGAACACUGUAGGUCAACAACUAUUGUCUUCAAAGGGUUAUCCUUGUGACAGAACAGUUACUGCUCCACUCCAACCAUGGCAAGUCACCCAUUUGUAUACUCACUGCUUCACUUCAACUAUUAUCUUCAAUGGGCUGGUUGUUCUUUGACAGAGUUUGCUGCUGCCUGCACAGAUGAUGAAAGUCUAACAACUUGGAACAUGUCUAAAAACUCACUGCAGGCUAUCCAUGUGACUGUAAAGGUUGUGCUAUCUAGAAACUCAACGCUUCACUUUAACCACUGUAGUUCAUCCAUGUGACAGGGACCAUUAUCUUCAAUUGGCAAGUCUUAAAGUUUUUAUCCAAUGUCUACUAAAUUUGAACUUUACUUCGCCUCAUCAAACGAAACUUGUCCUGUUUACUGGGGUUAGAUAUCUCUAGUUUUUUUA